GCGAGGUGAGGUAGUAGGUUGUAUAGUUUGUGGGAGGAAUAACAUCCUAUUGCGGUGAUAACUAUACAGUCUAUUGCCUUCCUUGA
RNAcentral lists this microRNA precursor (86 nucleotides) under Astyanax mexicanus (Mexican tetra). Its description in RNAcentral is "let-7 microRNA precursor family". It matches the Rfam family "let-7 microRNA precursor family". From Rfam's summary of the family: This family represents the microRNAs (miRNA) let-7 and mir-98. let-7 was identified from a study of developmental timing in C. elegans, and was later shown to be part of a much larger class of non-coding RNAs termed miRNAs. The extents of the hairpin precursors are not generally known and are estimated based on hairpin prediction. The products are thought to have regulatory roles through complementarity to mRNA. The record is from Rfam by way of RNAcentral. Lineage: Eukaryota; Metazoa; Chordata; Actinopteri; Characiformes; Acestrorhamphidae.